AGGGCUUCCCCGGCUCCCGAGCUCCGAGCUUCCACCACAUCGGCCGGCUCAGGACAGGGCUUCCACUGUAAAGUCGGCUGCCAGACGUGUUGGAGCUCACCGGUAUGUUACUUGUUUCUUUUCUCUUUCUUCCUUUAGAACUUUUCUUAUCUUUGACUUUUGGAGGAUCUACUGAACGCUUUGAAAUAGUCUUUUUGGGGUUAAAUCUGCUUAAUGUCCUAUAACAUUUUUGUAGUUGGAUAUGGAUAUCUUUCUCUAGGUUUGGAAAGUUUUCUGUUAUUAUCCCUUUGAAUAAAUUUUUCUACCCCUGCCUCUGUCUCUACAUCUUCUUUAAAACCAAUAGCUCUUAGAUCUGUCUUUGUGAGGCUAUUUUUCUAGAUCCUGUAGGCAUGAUUUGUUGUUUUUAUUCUUUUUCUUUUGUCUCUUCUAUGUAUUUUCAAAUAGCCUGUCUUCAAGCUCACUAUUUCUUCUGCUUGAUCCAUUCUGCUAUUAAAUGGCUCUAAUGCAUUCUUCAGCAUGCCAAUUGCAUUUUUCAGCUCCAGAAUUUCUGCUUAAUUUGUUGUAACUAUUUCAAUCUCUUUGUUGAGUUUAGCUGAUAAAAUUUGGAAUUUCUUUACUUUGUUAUCUUAAAUUUCUUUCAGGUUUUUUUUUUCUUUUUACAGCUAUGUUGAAUUCUCUGUCUGAAAGGUCACAUAUCUCUUUUUCUCCAGGAUUUGUCCCUGGUGCCUUAUUUAGUUCACUUGGUGAGGUCAUGUUUUUUUCCUGGAUGGUGUUGAUGGUAGUAGAUGUUCUUCAGUGUCUGGACAUUAAAAUCUUGGGCAUGCAGCACCAUAUGAGAGGUUUAAAAAAUAAAAUUAAAAAAGAGAAAAGAACCCAGAGUUGAUCUCUGCAGCAUGCCAUCACUGCUGGGGAUGAGGAAACGGUGAUUUCAGGACUGUUUUUUCUGUCUCUUCAGUGCCUCUUUCAGUGAUCUGAGGUUAAAACCAGAGGGACAAUCAGUGGAGCCUUCUUUCUGCCGUCUUGCUUUACUCUCACGCCCAAGAAUCAGAAUUCAGAACUUUUAAUAAGAAAAGCUUUCAGAACUCAGGAAGGACAAGGAAGACAUUCUGGUUCUCCAUGCUUAACAUUGGACUGUUUCUUCAACUGAGACUAUGGAGGAUUCAUCAACAGACCAGGAAGCAACAGCCUGGGCUCCAGAAUUGACCAGUAGUCCGUGCACAGACGAGGAGAGGUCCCAUGAAACUUCGGCGCAGUCUGGGAACCGAGCUCUUUUUGUAACAAGUUGUUUGUCAGGAGGCCCGGUCAUGAAAGCCCUUCCUGACUGGGCUCAAGGAAUACAAAAAGGACAACUUGUUUUUGCCAUUGUCUGUUGUUUUUCAAUAACUAGUUCUCCGAAACAGCACUGGAUGAAUGCCUCAAGGGGCUCACACAACUCGUUCCAGGACUUAGUGACCAUUGUUUCUGUCCCUGUUCAAUAGAGUUCAAAUUUAAUAUUUAAAUUUUGCUCCACAAUGUGCCAUAUUAUCUGUAUCCAACCUGUCAUUGGGCAUUUAGGUUGAUUCCAUGUCUUUACUAUUGUGAAUAAUGCUGCAAUAAACAUUUACGUGCUUGUGUCUUUAUGAUAGAACAAUUUAUAUACCUCUGGGUAUAUACCCAGUAAUGAGAUUGCUGGGUCAAGUGAUAGUUCUGCUUUUAUCUCUUUCGAGGAGAGCACUGUUGUGCUUUCCACAAUGGUGGGACCAAUGUACACUCCCAAGCAUCUGUCAUUUUUUGACUUUUUCAUAAUAGCCAUUCUGACUGGUGUGAGAUGGUGUCUCACUGUGCCUUGGAUUUGCAUUUCUCUAAUGAUCAGUGAUACUGAGCUUUGUAUUCUAUGGUUGUUGGUCACAUGUAUGUAUUCUUUUGAAAAGCAUUCAUGUCCUUUGCCCACUUUUUAAACAUUUUUUUAUUUCCAUAGGUUUUAGGACAACAGGUGGCAUUUGGUUACAUUAGUAAGUUCUUUAUUGAUUUGUAAGAUUUUGGUGCAUCCAUCAACUCAUCUGUAUA
RNAcentral lists this long non-coding RNA (2046 nucleotides) under Homo sapiens (human). Its description in RNAcentral is "non-protein coding LINC00960:14". Lineage: Eukaryota; Metazoa; Chordata; Mammalia; Primates; Hominidae. The record is from RNAcentral.